GAUGAAGAACGUAGCGAAAUGCGAUAAGUAAUGUGAAUUGCAGAAUUCAGUGAAUCAUCGAAUCUUUGAACGCACCUUGCGCCCUUUGGCCAUUCCGAAGGGCAUGCCUGUUUGAGUAUCAUGAACACCUCAACUCUUCAUGGUUUUCCAUGAUGAGCUUGGACUUUGGGGGUCUUGCUGGCCUGUGGGUCGGCUCCUCUCAAAUGAAUCAGCUUGCCGGUUUUUGGUGGGCAUCACAGGUGUGAUAACUAUCUACGCUUGUGGUUUUCCACCAGGGUAACCUUCAGCAGUGGAGGUUCACUGGAGCUUACAAAUGUCUCUCCUCUGUGAGGACAGCCCUUUGAAUGUUUGAUCUCAAAUCGGGUAGGACUACCCGCUGAACUUAAGCAUAUCAAUAAGCGGAGGA
This 406-nucleotide unclassified non-coding RNA is filed under the name soil metagenome. RNAcentral describes it as "partial contains 5.8S ribosomal RNA, internal transcribed spacer 2, and large subunit ribosomal RNA". The stretch from base 1 to 121 matches the Rfam family "5.8S ribosomal RNA", at positions 35 to 154 of the family's 154-position model. The record is from RNAcentral.